This 483-nucleotide ribosomal RNA is filed under the name uncultured bacterium. RNAcentral describes it as "partial 16S ribosomal RNA". It matches the Rfam family "Bacterial small subunit ribosomal RNA", at positions 28 to 523 of the family's 1533-position model. The record is from RNAcentral.
GACGAACGCUGGCGGCGUGCUUAACACAUGCACGUCGAACGGUGAAAGCGGAGCUUGCUCCGCUGGAUCAGUGGCGAACGGGUGAGUAACACGUGGGCAACCUGCCCCUCACUUCGGGAUAACUCCGGGAAACCGGGGCUAAUACCGGAUAUGACCUCCUUGGGCAUCCUUGGAGGUGGAAAGUUUUUCGGUGAGGGAUGGGCCCGCGGCCUAUCAGCUUGUUGGUGAGGGAGUGGCUCACCAAGGCGACGACGGGUAGCCGGCCUGAGAGGGCGACCGGCCACACUGGGACUGAGACACGGCCCAGACUCCUACGGGAGGCAGCAGUGGGGAAUAUUGCGCGAUGGGCGCAAGCCUGAUGCAGCAACGCCGCGCGAGGGAUGACGGCCUUCGGGUUGUAAACCUCUUUUAGUAGGGAAGAAGCGAAAGUGACGGUACCUGCAGAAUAAGCACCGGCUAACUACGUGCCAGCAGCCGCCGUAA